UAUAGCAAAACAAACUAAAUAUGUAUAAAUGAAAAUAAGAAAAAGGAAAAUGUAAGUUUUGUCUUUAUUUGAUUACAUAACAAAACAAGAGAAAGUUAUAAAAGUUAUUUACAAAUGGGAAUUUAAUGAAAAAAACCCUCAACUUUGGCCAGAUCCAUUUUUAAACCCUAAACUAUGUUUUUAGUAAAACAAAUUCUGAACUAAAACCUGUUAAUAAACUUAACCCCAUAGUAAUUAAAUAUUAAUGGGAUAUUAAUUUCCAAAAAAAAAACAACGAGACAUUUGUAUUUAGCGCAAAAACCACAUGAUGUUCUUUAAAACUGUUUUGAAUUUAUUACAAAAAAAACCUUCUAAAUGAUUUUGAAUUGCUUAAUUAGUUUGGAUUUUAGAAGCUGAAAGAAAGAUACAACAACUUAAAAUAAUCCAAGGAGUCAUGCUUAAAUAAAUCCAACCAACAUAACUAUCGAAGCUGUUGCAACACAACAAUAUUUGUCACAAAAAAAAAAACAAUCGUUUCAGAGGGACAAGAUAUUCUAAAGUAAAGACUUGUCAAACAUUAACUUUGAAGAGAAGAUUGUAUUGGCUGAGUGAUAGGGUUCUCUUCAUCCAUUGUUUUCUGUUUUUUCCUUGGUCGUCCUUGAGGUUUCUUGGGUGGUUUUGGCACUGCUUUACGCUUGCAUGAACGUUUGUUGUGUCCGACUUGUUGACAGUUGCUGCAAGUCUAAAUAUGCAAAGAUUAAAUUAAAUAAUUUGAAAAGGAAGAUCUUGUGAAACAUAAUUCAUUGUUCUCUAUUUUACCAUUUGAACUUUUUCACGUGUAUAAGGAACUUUUUGAGGUGGACGAUCUUCAGUUGGAUCACGGAUUCUGUCAUUGUUCUUUGGUCGAUUUUUGGAAAUUAAUAUCUCAUUAAUAUUUAAUUACUGUGGGGUUAAGUUUAUUAACAGGUUUUAGUUCAGGGUUUGUUUAACUAAAAACAUAGUUCAGGAUUUAAAAAUGGAUCUGGCCAAAGUUGAGGGUUUUUUUCAUUAAAUUCCCUUUACAAAUUAGAGUUGAAAGAGAAAAGUGUUUAUUCUCCGUAUUUCUAAAAAAACUACAUACUUUACAUGUAAAAAGUGUAUACUUAUUAUGUAGUGAGGUCGGUGACCCACGUGACAAU
RNAcentral lists this small RNA (1157 nucleotides) under Arabidopsis thaliana (thale cress). RNAcentral describes it as "ATSL000520". Lineage: Eukaryota; Viridiplantae; Streptophyta; Magnoliopsida; Brassicales; Brassicaceae. The record is from RNAcentral.